This is a non-coding RNA of Rhodocollybia butyracea, 96 nucleotides long. Lineage: Eukaryota; Fungi; Basidiomycota; Agaricomycetes; Agaricales; Omphalotaceae. The record is from the annotation of a GenBank genome assembly.
ACUCAAAUAGUCAAGUGGUCAAGACACCUUGAAUAUAUAUACCAUUCAUAUACCAAUAUUUCAAGGAGGCGGGUGGUUCAAUUCCCCCUUUGGGUA